Long non-coding RNA from Mesocricetus auratus (golden hamster), 474 nucleotides. RefSeq lists it as uncharacterized. Lineage: Eukaryota; Metazoa; Chordata; Mammalia; Rodentia; Cricetidae. The transcript is spliced from 3 exons. The record is from RefSeq and is a predicted model, not a curated record.
UCCCCCUCUGCCCUCUCUGUGACCCCCCCCCCCAUUCCCCACCUUCGUUUCCUGGUCAUACUUCUCUCCAGCUAGAAGAGAAAUUCACUCCCUGACUGCUUCAUGGACAACCAACACUACCUACACCAGCCAAUGAGAAGUAGUCCUUGGGCUUUGCCAGAAGAUGGUCAGCAGGCGCCCAGGGUCCAACCUGGACACAAAGCCCUUUCCUACUGGGAAUCCCAACCAGGCGCCUGGAGCUCGGGAGGACUGGGUCCCAGGAUGCAACAUGGACGGGCAUGCUGGGGAGGCACUCUGCACCCCCAGAGUUUCCAUGUGGUGUCAGUUGAGUCUACUGAACCUGAGGCUGUCCAGGGCUGACUACAACCCAGCAGCUCACUGGGCGGCUGCUGGAUGAACCACCAUUGUCUGACUCGUGUUCAUUUUGUUCCCACGUGUGUGUGUGCAUCCAUCCUUCACCGCUCCUCCUUAUUC